UCCCACUUUCAUUUUUCCACAUGUGCUGUUCCCUCCCUCUGCAACACUCUUCCCCCCUACCCUUCAUUCAGCUGACCCUUCCUCAUGCUUCAAGUCUCAACUUAAACAUCAUUUCCUCUGGUAACCAUCCUUGGCUCUCCAGGCUGGCUUGUUUCCUUCUCAUACGUUCCUGUAGCACUAAGACCUACCAUUGAAAACUCAAGUCCCAUCUGUAACUACCUGUCUACCACCUGUCUUCCCUCCCAACCCUCCCUGAGGGUCCAGACCUUUCCUAUCAUGUUCACCACUGUAUCCUCAGCACUUACUGUGCCUGGUGCAUCAUCGUAGGUUCUAAACAAACGCGUAUUGAGGAAGUGCUGAAGGAGUCUCCUCAAAAGCCGAGGCCCUGGUGGGGAAGGCAGUGUCCUGCUGAGUGUAUCUGUUUUCCCUCCAUGCCCCCACUGGCAGCAGCAACUUCUCCACACCCAUGUCCAUACCUCACCUUGCCCUCAGUCCUCUGUCAGGAAGCUGGAAGCCCUCUGAACAGGAUGGCUUUGUUCUACAAUACAAGGUCCCGAAGGGAGGAGGAAACCCAGUCCGCCGGAAGUGGAAGUUGGAAGGAAAGGUGAGGCCUAGGAAGCGGGAAGAUGGCUCCUGGGACGCGCAAUCAUGUAUCGGCAUUUCGUGCGUGCAUGAAGAGGGGAAGAAGACAAGCUGCGGGGCUAGAGUAAGAUUUGCACACCUUGGGUCCUGGGACCGUCCUGCUCAGCUGAGUGGAAUACCAAACGAGGGUGUCUUGGAGCUGCACUUCACUUCAGCCAGGCAGUCGACAGGAGAAGCAGCGAGCGAGACCGACAGACUGUCACUGGCAAAAUGAACUGUCACCUCCCAUUUUUCAGAGGCACGGGGGAUGAAUUGCAGCCUUGAACCGUGCGGCCCGCUGCUGAUUGAGUUCCGCUGUCUUAGAACCCCUUCGAACAAGGCGAGUUCAUUUCAGACUGACGUCCCACCGCUCAUCAAUUUAAGAGCCAGUAAAAUUAACCACUUCGGAGCUGACUUGCUCCCUCCCCCUGCUUGGAUUCCACAUCCUGAAAGGUCACCAAAUAAAUCUCUCUGGGUCCUACUAGCAUAAUAUGCAGCUUGGAGACAGGGUCUCAGGAGAGGAGACCGAGCCAGAGAUAGCCCAGGCCUGAAAGGUUGCCGAGGCCCCGUCACAGCCGCCGGUCCAUGGCGGUGGUGUGACAAGACAGGCCUUUGCUAGCUCUGCUCCCACCCAAUCAGCUUCUGCUCCCAAGAGAUCUAGGGUUGGGUAGAGUUGGGUGGCUGAGAAUGGAGGUGCUACAGAAGACCCCCUAGUCUUGUGGCAGAGACCUCUGUGCACUGCUAGUCUCCCAUCUGCUGUGGACUGAAUGUUUGUGCCCCACACCCAUUCAUAUGUUGGAACCCUAAUCCCCAAUAUAAUGGUAUUCGGAAGUGGACAUUUGGGAGGUAAUCAGGGUUAAGUUAGGUCACGGGGGUGGGGGCCCCAAUGUUGGGAUAUAAUGCCUUUAUAAAAUGGAAGAGAAGCUGAAACCUUUUUUUCUUGGCUAUGUGAGGAGGAUACAGCAAGGAGACAGCAGCCAUCUGUAAACCAGGAAGAGGACUCACCAGGAACGUCACUAUGCUGGCACUCUGAUCUUGGACUUCCAGUCUCCAGAACCCAGAGCUGCCUCUCAUGAUAAAGGCUGAAAGUACCAGACUCUUGCUUUCCCAGGUUCACUUGAAGCUAAAGACAGCCACAUGAGCCAGUUCUGGCCAAUGAGAAGUAAGAGGAAGACCGUACUGGGAGAUGUCUGGGGACAUUUUUCUUCUAGUUAAAAGGAUGAGCAUGCAUGAGGCCCCUGCGCUUUUUUCCUUCAUGGCUGUGAACACAGUUGUAUGAAAACAUGAUUCUUCAACUAUGGCAACCAUGCAACAGCAAGUCUAAAGACCAAGAGCCAAUGCUGAGAGUAAAGAAAUAAAAGGAUGAAAGAAGUCUGCUCAGUUGUAGUAUUUUUCAGCUGAUGAACCAAAGUAGGACCUCUAGACUUCUUUUGUGAGACAGUGAAAACUGCUCUUGAGGCUUUUUGUUAAAUAUUCUUGUUACCUGCCUCUGAAAGCAUUUUGAUGCAUUGAAAAUGCAGAAUGAUACAGAAACUGGAAUUAAGACAUCUCCAAACUGUAACCGAGGCUUUCUGAGAAGUCCACAGGGCUCUGGACAGCCCCUACCAACCAGUGAUGGGAGUUACCUCGUAAGAUGAAAUCUAUGUGCCAACCCUAUUGUCAAACAAAUAUUUGUCUGGGAGUAAGGAGAAUUGAAUCCUACUUUGAGGCUUUGACAUUACCUGGAUAUAUGGCCUUAAACAAACUAUUAAACAUUUCCGGGUCUCAGUUUCCUUAUCCACAAAAUGGCAUUAGGAUUGGUCUUCUCCAAUGAGUAAUUCAUGAUCUGCCAGAGACUCUCAAGCCUGAACUGAUGGGUCUCCAAGCUGGUUGCUGCUACCAAGUACCUCUUCCCUUUACUCCGCACCAGGGAAGGAAAUUCACCCGAAACAGGGACAUCAACUUUCUAGCUCUGUUUGGGGACUUUCCUGUCCCUAAAAGGCCCUGGAGGAAAUAACGUAAACCGGCAUUUGGGGCGACUGCUAAGAGGCUAAAUCUUGUGACACUGGGAGCCCAAUGGCGUGGUUCAAGGAGCCCAAGAGUGGCCCAGUGGAGAGUGUUCUAUCAGCCAGAGGGGCAGAGCCUCUGUGCGAGGUGUGUCAGGAAUGGGUGUGACCGCACCAGAAGACACAUCAAGUGGGGAAAAUCAGGAAAGAAACUCACUGAACUCCCUGGCUCAGGUGCUGGGAGUUAAAUCCUCCCACGACAAGGCCUACAGGGUUGCAUCCGCAGGGGAAGCUCCGGCUCCUGGCGAUGGUGAGUGGCCUCUGAUGGAGGUGGGGUGGAGUGAAGCCAUUUCAGGAAGGAAGUCGGGAUCCCCAAACCUGGCGGUCCUGAGCACAGGUUUCAGAGGAUUGCAGGAGAGUCCUUUCUAGAAAUACUAAACAGAGCAGAGAUGUAAAGAAACUUCAACUUCCUCCUCAAACGCUCCAGGUCGCUGGUAGCCUGCUCAACGAGGGGAGGCGCCACCUACAGGAGACAGGAAGACCUGCAACCUGGUCUGGAGACUUCAACAGUUCGAUGGCAGGGAUUAACCCGGCCCCACCCUUCCUUCUCCUCGUUGCAGCCCCUAACGUUUAUCGAAUGCUUUUCUCGUGCCAGACAUUGUCCUAAGCGCUUGACAUGUAUUAACUCUUUUAAACUUGACGAUAACCCUAUGAGUGUAACUCAGGGCCAAGGAUUUAACUCAGUGGGCCUUCAGUUCUGCACUUUGCCGUUCCCAUAUUUUUGAGACACCCUUACGCGUCUGGAGAGAAAAUUGUUGCUAAGGGUUAACUGCACUGCAGCGGCAGACAAAGCUGGCCUGAUGGCAGGAAUACUGUUCCCCGAUGGCGGUUCCACGGGCACCUAAUUAUGAAAAAGUUUGAAUGACGAUAAUAAUGAUGUCAGUGGGGAGCCACAGAAGAAUUCUGAGCUGGGGAAGGACAUGAUCAAGACAGCAUCUUGAGGAAGCGAUCCAGGGCUGUAGCUGGUGCUAUGAUGGGUGUAUUCUGCAUGUUCAAAAGGUCAUCUGGCAUGGAGACAGGCUAAAUUAUGGCUGGAGUGUAUGAAUCUGAGGACGUUCUCCAUUAACAUUUAUUAGGAAUUGUCAUCGCUUCAACCCGCAUGGGCCCCAGAUGUGGAAACCCCAGCUGCCCCGGACUUCUCUUCCGGGCUGCAAUCUCUCCUCUGAUUUAUUGUUAUUAAACAUGACCAGAUUUUGUAGAGGGGAAAAUUGAAGAAAGCAACACACACAUGGGGAACUGUUGGGUGGAGGCUGCCAAGAGAAACAAACCAUUUUAUCCUAUCUGGUGACAGUGGGAACACAUGGAGACACAAACCGCUGUGCCUCUUUCCUAAAUCAGAAACAUGCAGGCCUGAGCCUCUGGGCAUCUGUUCACAGGCCAAAUGUCUUCACCCUGAGGGUGAGCGAGGGGCAGUUGAAGGUAAUGAGAAAUGCUAAGAAUAGAAUUCUAGAAGCCACGGCAGGGACCCUCUUCCUCAAAAUAUAUUACCUUCCAGGGCAGAUGACUUCCUGGGAGUCAGUCACACCCUCUGGAUAUCAUUUUUCUUAUCAGUAACAUUUACUCUUCCACUGUGUAGUGAUUGUGAGGGAUCCCAAGAAGUCAAAGUUAGAGCCCCACCUUCUGGCCGCUUAUAAUUUAUUUUGUUUAUUCACUCAUUCAGCAUAAUUUUAUUAAGCACAUACUAUGUAGCGGGCAUUAUCAUAGGUUUUGAGGAAAUAUUAGUAAAGCAGAGAGAGCAGGGCACCUACAUAUGUAUGAGGGAACAAUAUCAGAAAAUACCAAAACAGUAGCUAAUAGACAAAGAAGUGUGUGAGAAGGAAGGCAGCAUAAAGAAAGCAUACUGCAUUAGGAGUCAGGAAAACUGAAUUCCCAUCCUGGCUCUACUACCUAAGAGUCUUGUGCCCUUAGGUAAGUUAUUUAACUUCUUGGAACCUCAGCUUCUUGUUCAUAAAAUGGCGAUAAACCUACCUCACCUCACCUCACUGGUUUCUUGUAAAAUAUAAAUGAGGUAAUGUAUUUGAAGAGUUCCUUGUAAACAGCAAAUUGCACUAUGGUGUCAGGGGUUUUUAUGAUCAGUGCCAAAUAAAUGAUACGGUGAGUGUAUGGGACAGUACGUUCCCGAGCCAGAAGUCUGGGGACUCAUCCUCUUCCGCUUUGUCUUGGGAAAAGGAGCAAGCAGGAUUAUCCCCAGGCGCUGGACAUGUGUCCCUUGGGGAUUCUUUUACUCAUGGAGUCUGGAUAUCUUGCUGAUCUUACUAACAGACCAAACCUGGGAAAUCCUCACUUCACUAUGCCUUUUCUUAGACCUGUGCGUGGAAAUUAUCCUAUGCAGGAGUUGUGGCGGGUGAACAUAGGUAAUGAGGAAAGUCUCAAAGGCGCUAGGUCCAAUUACCUUUGUUUUUGCAUUGUUCCUCCUUAAGAUUAUCUAGGUUCCAAGGAGAAGGAAUGAUGUUAAUCCAUUCCCUUGACCCAUCUUUCAACUUUACAUCCCUUGGCCACCGCAAUGCACUUAUAGCAUAUGUAUAAGCUGGCACACACACCUGCAUCAUACCUGGAAUUAGUGGGGAUAUCCCUAGGGCCAGACUUUCUUCUACCAGGGACUAAAGCCCCAGCUGCUUCCUCCUAACAUGCAGCUAACCAUGGGGUAUCCUUCCUAAGCCUCACAAGCCCAUGCAUCCUUGACCUAUAAAAAAAGAAGGCCUUUGUGGCUCAGU
Molecule: long non-coding RNA, 5380 nt
Organism: Aethalodelphis obliquidens (Pacific white-sided dolphin)
Lineage: Eukaryota; Metazoa; Chordata; Mammalia; Artiodactyla; Delphinidae
Exons: 9
Source: RefSeq, a predicted model, not a curated record